AAGCCAAUGAGAAGACAGCUGCUGC
This 25-nucleotide non-coding RNA is filed under the name Arabidopsis thaliana (thale cress). Lineage: Eukaryota; Viridiplantae; Streptophyta; Magnoliopsida; Brassicales; Brassicaceae. The record is from RNAcentral.